Molecule: ribosomal RNA, 496 nt
Filed under: uncultured bacterium
Lineage: Bacteria
Description: partial 16S ribosomal RNA
Rfam family: Bacterial small subunit ribosomal RNA
Source: RNAcentral
GACGAACGCUGGCGGCGUGCCUAAUACAUGCAAGUUGAGCGCUGAAGGUUGGUACUUGUACCGACUGGAUGAGCAGCGAACGGGUGAGUAACGCGUGGGGAAUCUGCCUUUGAGCGGGGACAACAUUUGGAAACGAAUGCUAAUACCGCAUAAAAACUUUAAACACAAGUUUUAAGUUUGAAAGAUGCAAUUGCAUCACUCAAAGAUGAUCCCGCGUUGUAUUAGCUAGUUGGUGAGGUAAAGGCUCACCAAGGCGAUGAUACAUAGCCGACCUGAGAGGGUGAUCGGCCACAUUGGGACUGAGACACGGCCCAAACUCCUACGGGAGGCAGCAGUAGGGAAUCUUCGGCAAUGGACGAAAGUCUGACCGAGCAACGCCGCGUGAGUGAAGAAGGUUUUCGGAUCGUAAAACUCUGUUGGUAGAGAAGAACGUUGGUGAGAGUGGAAAGCUCAUCAAGUGACGGUAACUACCCAGAAAGGGACGGCUAACUACGUG